AACAAACGCUGGCGGCGUGCCUAAUACAUGCAAGUCGAACGGGAAAAGCUUUCGGGCGAGUACUAGUGGCGCACGGGUGAGGAACACGUGGAUAAUCUGCCUUGGAGAGGGGGAUAACUAGUCGAAAGAUUAGCUAAUACCGCAUAAGACCACAGGAACUGAGGUUCUAGGGGUCAAAGGUUUUUCGCUCCAAGAUGAGUCCGCGUAAGAUUAGCUAGUUGGUGAGGUAAUGGCUCACCAAGGCGACGAUCUUUAACUGGUCUGAGAGGAUGAUCAGUCACACUGGAACUGAGACACGGUCCAGACUCCUACGGGAGGCAGCAGUAGGGAAUAUUGCACAAUGGAGGAAACUCUGAUGCAGCGACGCCGCGUGAGUGAUGAAGGCCUUCGGGUCGUAAAGCUCUGUCGCAGGGGAAUAAAAAAAUGAAGGUACCCUGCAAGAAAGGAUCGGCUAACUUCGUGCCAGCAGCCGCCGCCG
This 478-nucleotide ribosomal RNA is filed under the name uncultured bacterium. RNAcentral describes it as "partial 16S ribosomal RNA". It matches the Rfam family "Bacterial small subunit ribosomal RNA", at positions 29 to 523 of the family's 1533-position model. The record is from RNAcentral.